CUUCUCCUCUACCAUUAUUCCCUUCUUCAUCUCCUUUUCUCGGCAAAACCUGAACCACUUAUCUUUUUCUUCUCCUUUUCUUGGAAAAACCAGAGCCCAAGUUCAACUAGACCCCAAGUUCUCUUCUUCUUCUCCUUUUCUAAAAAAUCAUACCCCAAAUUCUCUUUUACUUAUGUUCUUCUUCUUGUCUUCUACCAAAAUCAGACCCUGAAUUCUAAUCGGAAACCACCCAUGACUGAUGGACUUUGGAGACUCGAGACACCGUCAACCACAUAUAACUUGAUUGUGGCUAGAACCCGCAACCCACGCCGUCUAUGAAUAGUUUGUUGCACAAUCCUCGGUGAUGUUGCAGAUUAUAGAUAUCCAACAUUAAUUUUUGUUUUGAAGACCGUAUUGAUCUCUGCAUUGCUAAUGAGAGUGGUCCAUGAAGAGGGUAAAGAUUUCCGUGAAAAAAAGGGCCUCAAAGAUAUCUAUAUAUAUGACCAAAAGCAAACCAUUCAGUGAGUGUUGAAGGGUUGAUCUAAUUUUCCAUUAGAAGCAAGUAAUUUUCCAUUGAAUACAGUAAGAACAGAUCAGUUAGUGAUCACAAUUAAAUUUUUGACAGUCUGUUCUAUCUUUUAUUUGUUUGGUUUAUUUAUGAUAACUGAGCUAACAAGGACAGUUUCAUUGAUUGAAAGUGUGUUCAAUCACUCCAAAUCUGUCAUAGAUUCGGCCUAAAAUGCCAAGUAGCAUUUGAAUUUUUAAAACAGAAUGUUAAGUUGAAAAAAGAAACACCAUGAAUUCGUAAAUAAACCUCAGAUCACUUUCAAUUAUUAUAGAAUCCCGAUUCCAUCUCCCUACUUGAAUCAUGAAGAGUAGGAGAUUUUCAAUUCAAUUUUGCUUCAUACUUUCACAAGGGAUAGUCACAACAACAAUUUGAAAGAACAUGGAGCAUAGCACAAUGUUUUUGCACAUUAGAAACAAGUGGUGCAAUAAAAUUGCAAAAGAGAGAUAGUAUUCAGUACCAUAUUUGAUAGAAGACAAUAGGACAAAAGAUUUUAAUGAAUCCAUAUAUAUGAAACAGAUAUAUAUAUAACUCCAACAGGGCUGCCGGGUACGGAUUCAUAUAUAUGAAACAGAUAUAUAUAUAUGCAAGAGUUGCAGUACCGAAACAAUCUAUACAAGUUCUAUAUAACAAACUUCCACAUGUAAUCAUCCAAAUACAACAAUACCCAUAAACACACUCAAAGGGGUCUUUCAUCAAUCAACACUGUUAAGGAUUUGACCACAUAUAUAUAUAUAUGUAUAUAUUUAUAGAGUAGCUAGCUAUAUAUAGCCACAAUCACAAAGAUAUAUGUUAUUAUUUGAUAUAUUAAUCACAAACCAGCUAAUAUGUGAAUAUUCAAAACUUGGUCAAGCUCAAAAUACAUGAAAUCCAUGACUAUACAUAUGAGACACUCAUACCCAGCUGCUAAAUGGCAAAACGCCAAGGAAGAACUCUAUAUUUAUGUAUAUAUAAAUAUAUAGAAGGAGAUACCUUAAAAAAUCAGGCGAAUGGCAGAGUGAAGGUCUAGUUGCAACAUCAAGAUAUGAUCUGGAAAAGAGGAUCAAAGACCUUUCUAUGUGAGGAGAUGUUAAAUUAGAAGAGAAAAAAAAAUUAGGGCACAAAAGUGUGUAAGAUAAGAAGAACACACCAUUAAAAUGUUGAGAGAAGUUUCAGUCAGCAGAGAACAAUUGAUUUGUGCGUGGAGAAUGUCCUCAGAGGCGGAGAGAUGGAGGAGAAGGAGCUCAGAGCUCCAUUGCUGCUUCUUCUAUUUUCGUCGAGAGGGAAAAAUGAGAAAACUGAGAACUACUUUUGAAAACAUAGAUAAGGUGUUUUCUAAAUUCUUGUCUUUUUUAACUCAGUUUUUUAAAAACUGUUCUCAAAAAACAAAGCCAAACACAUCAUUUGUUUUCCAAAAACAAUUUUCUAUUUUUUAGAACAGAAAACUGUUUCUGAGUUAAUGAGCCAAACAGGCCCUUACUUACUAUAAUUAUUGCUUUAGUUGUAUUCAGAAUCAUAUUGAUAUGCGCACACUACGCUUUAGAGUACUUUUGAUAGGAGGUAUUGCAUUACUUUCUAAUGUAUCAAUCUUGUUUGUGAAGUUUCUACCACAAAUUAAAAAUGGAGUUUGAUAUCAUUACUGAAUACUAUUCUUUAUUUGAAAAAAAAAAAAAAGUGAGUUAACUCCAUGGAAAUAAUUAUUUUUUAAUUCUUUAUAUCAAAAGAAACUUUAAAACUCAUUAUUCAUCUAUUUGGACUUUUAAUUCUAGUAUGAAUAGGUUUGCUUUGGGACUCUAUGGUUUUGGGACUCUUAAUUUUAGUCUGAAUAGGUUUGUUUUUUUGCUUAACACUAUCUAGUAUCCACUAUGAUGCUAAUAGGAUUUCCAUGAUAUCCCUCUUGAAAAUUUGGUGUCAUGGCUUUGUAAAUUGACGAUGGAGAUUGAUAAUAAGCUUAGAAGUCAAGCCAGUCAAUUCUUUUUGGGCAAAAAGGGCAGUGCUGGUGUUUCGCAGCAAAAGCCAGCAUCAGUGGCAGAAAAUUUUAGAAGAAUUACAUAAAGUUUUCGGAGUCAAGGUGGACUCCACUUUUGUGUCUGAUGAUAGAAUAAUUAUUUGGUGUCCCCGUUAAGGCUUACAACAGGAACUAAUACGUAGAAGGGAGAUUACUAUUGCAGGAGACAUGCAGGUGUUUUUUCAACCGUGGAAUUGGAAUAAUCAGGAGGCAAAUAGGAAAGUCAGCUGUUUCCAAAAUUGGAUUGGGAUCGAAGGCAUUCCUCUGAAUAUCUGGAAUAUUCACGUGUUCAAGGUCAUUGGGGCUAUUUGUGGUGGUUUAAUGGCAGUGGACAAAGGAUCGUUAGAGAUGAGAGAUAUCUCUUUUGCCCGGCUGAGACAUUUUGGAGAUUGCAAUGGCUUCAUUCCGGGUUCAAUCUCCCUGCCGUAUGAAGGAAGCAGCAUAGUUUUAAAGCUUUUCAAACUGGAUGAUCAGCCUUUUCAAUCCAAAGGUGGUGACCGGAGUUUGUGGGUUAAGAAGGUGGUUGACGACAAAGGAGUACAGACUGAGGCAAAUCAAAGAUCAAGGAGGAAAAUCUGGGUUAGAAAACAACCCAGAAUCCGGUGGCUGAGUCUGAGAUUCCGGAGCCGCUGACAGAGAUUCAGAAGGUUGUAUUUUCAGGUUUGAUGGCGCCGGUGGUAGGGGGUGCAGCGUCUGAGAUGUUGCCGGAGGUCAACCAUAACGUUUCCCUGUCGCUGGGGGAAUUUAUUUCGGAUCCGGAUUUCCAGGAGGGUGAUCACGAGAAAACAGGGAGGGUUACGCUAUCCUCAUGCUACUCCUUAAAGUCUAUUUUUAAUAGACUUUUUUCAGAUCUAUCCAUCUCAGAAAAGGAAAGAGAGGACACGUGUUUUAGUUAUUUGUUAUCUAAAUUCACAUGUCCAAAAAGGAAAUUCAAAUUUGCCCUUUAUGUUGGACAUUUGGGCUGGGCCUUGUCUUUGGAAAACAGGGCCUUCUCUUUUAAAAUUAAUUUAACCCAUGUCAGGGCUCUCUUCAUUCCAAAUGACUUGGGAGUGGGCUGCCGGCCAUGGAGGGUUUUUAAGAAUAAUAGGACCAGGCCCAUUCGAAUUAUUAGAAGCCCAAAACCUUGUGAGGCCUUCGGCAAGGGGAGAGUUUCUCUUUGGACAGAUCACUCAAUAAAGACUUUUAGCCGUGGGGUUGUUUCUCUUCAACAAUCAGAAAAGGAAGAGACUAGCCUUGAGUUUUCAACUAGAAGCCUGAAAGUGUAUCAUCGUAAGCCAAAGGAUGCUUUUCCAGUAAGAAAUUCUCUUUUAGAAGAACAGUUAGAGACAAUGAUGGAUACAGGACAAGAUUUGGCAGAGGAAGAGUUCUUUACACCGGUGGAAGAUGGUCCUUCGGAAAUUUGUAGUUCAGAGGAGGAGGAUUUAGCUUUAGACUCGGAUGUUGACAAGGAGGAUAUGGAAGAUAUCGUAGUCCAAGCUAGAAGGUUGUGGUGCGAAGAAGAGGAAGGGGUAAAUUCUGAGGCAAAACUGGAUCCUGGUUGUGAGGUAGAGGGCGUGGGUUUAGAGGCGGAAACUGCAGAAGAGGCGGAUAGCCCUCAUGAUCUUUCAAGGCUUGUUCUGGUGAUGGAAUCUUAUGGAAUUUCUCUACUACCUAGUAAUCUAGGGGAGGAAGAGAAAGGAAGCCCUUCAUCUUUGCCUAAAAAGAGUGCACGUGAACUUAAAAAACUUGAGUUUAAUGUGAAUUAUGAGAAUAGGAGAAUGUUUGGGUGUCGUAAGUUCUCAUGAAGAUUUUAUCAUGGAAUGUAAGGGGAAGUGGUAAUAAAGAGAAGCGGAGGGCGAUAAAAGAAACCAUUUGAAAGGUCAAUCCUGACCUUAUUGUGCUCCAAGAGGUGAAAAAGGAUAAAUUAGACAGAAGUUUUAUAGGUAGUAUUUGGAGAUCCAGAUUUAAAGCUUGGAUUUAUCAGCAGCCGUUGGGUAGAUCAGGCGGGACGUUAGCUGUUUGGGAUACUCGUAGUGUUUCUGUUUCGGAUUCCUUGGUUGGGGAGUUCACCAUUUCCAUUCAUAUUGAAGCUGAGGGUAAGAACCCUUGGUGGUUUACCGGUGUUUAUGGGCCAGUGGUUUAUGGUAAAAGGGAGAGUUUUUGGGAUGAGUUGGCUGGUUUACAGGUCAUUUGUGGUAGUCAUUGGUGUCUAGGGGGAGAUUUUAAUGUGGUUAGGAGAGGAGAUGAAAAACUGAAUAGCGUGACCAACACUAGAAGUAUGAAGAAUUUUGAUGCGUUGAUUAGAGAGAUGAACUUGGUGGAUCCUAAGCUCCAUAAUGGCCGUUUCACUUGGUCUAACUUCAGACAGAGGCCUAUCUGUAGUAGGCUCGAUAGAUUUUUAUUUUCGCCCUUGUGGACUGAGUUCUAUCCUUUCAUUUGUCAGGAAGUGUUGGUUCGCAUAGUCUCAGAUCAUUGUCCGAUUGUGUUGGACUCCAAUCCUCCUUCAUGGGGUCCCAGCCCUUUCAGAUUUGAUAAUCCCUGGCUUGAGCAUAAGGAUUUCAAGGUGUUUUGUUAAAAGUGGUGGAACUCGUCUAACAUGAUGAGGUGGUCGGGAUAUGGGUUCAUGGAAAAGCUUUCUUUGGUUAAAGACAAAGUUAGGGGGUGGAGUAAGGAGGUUUUUAGUUCAAGAACUUUGCUUAAACAUUCACUGGAAAGAAGGAUGUUCGAGUUGGAUAGGUUAGAGGAAGGUGGACAGUGGAAUGAUCAUCUUCUUUCGGAGCGAAGGAAGAUUAAGGAAGAAUGGCAGCAAGUUGUAUUUGAAGAGGAUAGAGGAGUUUGGUUUAAGUCAAAAUGUCAAUGGGCAAAACAAGGAGAUUCUAAUUCCAAGCUCUUUCAUAGUAUCCUAAGCGCACGUAAAGCUAGGAAUUUCAUCUCCCGAAUUGAGCAAGAGGAUGGGACUAUCCUUGACAAGGAUGUUGAUAUAGAAAAGGCAAUUGUUGAUUUUUACUCCUCGUUGUAUUCUUCGGUCCCUAGGAGGUGGAGUGGUGUCGAAGGCAUUUCUUGGGAGCCUAUUCCCUCAUUCUUGUCCUCUCUCAUUGAGAGGCCGUUCUCGGAAGAGGAAAUUCGUCGGUCAGUUUUUGAUUGUGAUGGGUCUAAGGCUCCGGGUCCCGAUGGAUUCUCUUUGGCUUUCUAUCAGGUUAAUUGGGAUACGGUUAAGAGUGAUCUCCAAGCAGUGUUCGAUGUUUUCUUUAAGGAUGGGGUUAUUCAUCGGAGGACCAAUGAAACUUACAUUUGCCUAAUUCCGAAGAAGUUGGAUAGUUGUCGGGUGUGAGAUUUUAGGCCAAUUAGUUUGGUCACUAGUCUCUAUAAGAUUAUUUCAAAGGUGUUGGCUGGUCGUCUUAGAGGGGUUCUCUCUGAUACUAUAGCUGAGACUCAAGGAGCCUUUGUAGAGGGCAGGCAAAUCUUGGAUACAGUGUUGGUGGCUAAUGAGGCAGUGGAGGAGUAUCGGAGUAAAGGCAAGAAGGGCUGGGUUUUCAAAAUUGAUUUUGCUAUGGCUUAUGAUUGUGUAGAUUGGGAUUUCCUGGGAUUCGUUCUGGAAAAGAAAUGUUUUGGUGUAGUUUGGAGAAAGUGGAUUCUGGGUUGUUUGUCUACUACAUCUUUCUCCGUGUUUUUAAAUGGGAGACCGAGGGGGAAAUUUAAAGGUUCUAGAGGUCUUCGCCAAGGUGAUUCCCUUUCACCUUUCUUGUUUACCUUGGUGGUUGAUGUUUUGGGCAAGAUGGUGGAUAAGGCCAAGAGCGUCUCGGCCUUGCGAGGUUUCAAAGUAGGGAAAGAUUUGGUGGAAGUCAGCCAUCUUCAGUUCGCAGACGACUAAGUGUACUCCCUUGCUUGGAAGCAUGAAAUGAAACUGUUCAAAAGCAUUGUUUAUAAUUUUUUUGACUCAAAAGGCAUAUAUCUAAUUUUCUCAAGUCAAAGGCGAAUCAUUUUGAAACACGCAUUAUAACAAAGAAAAGUUGAUUUUGAUUUCAAAAGCAAGGAAAACAAUUUAGGAGGUUGUAGAAGCUUUUAAGGAGUCAUGGUUCAUACACAGUUUUCGUCCGCAUCUCCUCCAUCCCAAACAAAUAUUCCAACUUCUAUAUCUAAUAUGAAAUCAGUAGUUGCUUCUUAUAGUGAAGCAAGAGUGAAGAAAAGGCUUUAUAAUAGCAAACAUGAAGCUAGGAAAGCAAAAAGAACCAAAAAGAGCUAAUUAACUAUUAAAGAACCUUGUGAAUCCCCUCCUAAGGGUAUGAAUUUCCUAAUUCAUCCGAAUAAUCGAUGUUCUUCAAAAUUUUCUUCUACAAUCAAACAUUCACAAAUUUAAGCUAUCCUCCAAAAGCUUUCACCGAAGCAAGUUAGUGAAUUUGGUAAUUCAUGUUUUGGUCAUUUCCUAAUCCUGCCAGAGUUCACAAUGCAACAUCAACUUAUCCAUAAUCUAUUGCUCAGAGAGUUGCAACAACCCAACGAACUUGAGAUUUGGGUUGGUAUAAAUGGAAUGAAGUUUCGUUUUGGGAUAAGGGAGUUUGCAUUGGUCACAAGUUUACAUUGUUUGGGAUCAACAGAUAAGAUGAAAUAUGUUACGAAGAAUGAUGGUCUUUAUUCUACAUAUUUUAAGGACCAUUUGAAGAUCAAUAAGAAAAUUCUUAAGGAAUGCUUUGAUGGGGAACGGUGGCAAAAUGAUGAGGAUGCUUUGAAGAAUUUAUUGAUGCAUUUUUUGUAGAAUUUCUUGCUUAGUUCUUAUGUUACUAAUAUUGUCCUAAGAGAAGACUUCAAGAUUAUAGAUAGUGGUGAGUUUUUUUAAUUUCCUUGUGGUAAGGAAGUUUUCAAGGGCACUAUUGAAUCUUUGAAGAAACGGGUUGUUGGAAAUAAAAGUAAAAAAGAGAGGAACAAAGAUGAAAAGAAAAAAAGACAAGUCUUAUUAUAGGUUGCUUAGGUUUCUAUAUGUAUUUCAAGUAUGGUUUUUUUAGUGUUUCCCAUACUAGAAUGGAAGAUAUUGUCAUCUUUCUCAUGGAUCAAUCACAUGCAUUAACAAAUGGUCAAGCAAAACUCAGUCUUCAUUCUCAGAGGUGAUCGAUGUGUUGUCUUUUGAAUGUUGCGGAGUUGAAAUUGAGGAAUCUAUAUCCUACUUUUGAGGAGAGAAAUUUUCAGAAAUGAAGACUUUGUUUCCAAAAGAAAAAGAUGCUCUUGAGGUUGACAGUGAUGUUCUUGAAAAUGCUAGAGUUGCUUAUG
This is an RNA transcript of Humulus lupulus (European hop), 7772 nucleotides long. RefSeq lists it as uncharacterized. The record is from RefSeq and is a predicted model, not a curated record. The transcript is spliced from 6 exons. Lineage: Eukaryota; Viridiplantae; Streptophyta; Magnoliopsida; Rosales; Cannabaceae.